ACUCAAAUGAAUUGACGGGGGCCCGCACAAGCGGCGGAGCGUGCGGUUUAAUUCGACGCAACGCGCAGAACCUUACCAGGGCUUGACAUGGAUCUGCAGAGCCGGGAAACCGGUUGGCCUUCGAGGGUGAUCCACAGGUGCUGCAUGGCUGUCGUCAGCUCGUGUCGUGAGAUGUUGGGUUAAGUCCCGCAACGAGCGCAACCCUCGUGGGUAGUUGUCGAUGUUUCUACCCAGACUGCCGCGAGCAACGCGGAGGAAGGUGGGGAUGAUGUCAAGUCAGCAUGGCCCUUACGUCCUGGGCAACACGCACGCUACAAUGGUCGGGACAGCGGGUCGCCAAGCGGUAACGCGGAGCGAAUCCCAAAAACCCGAUCUCAGUUGGAAUUGUGGGCUGCAACUCGCCCGCAUGAACGUGGAGUCGCUAGUAACCGCAGGUCAGCACUACUGCGGUGAAUACGUUCCCGGGCCUUGUACACACCGCCCGU
RNAcentral lists this ribosomal RNA (485 nucleotides) under uncultured bacterium. RNAcentral's name for it is "partial 16S ribosomal RNA". It matches the Rfam family "Bacterial small subunit ribosomal RNA", at positions 899 to 1397 of the family's 1533-position model. The record is from RNAcentral.